GUGAGGAAUUUUCCGCAAUGGGCGAAAGCCUGACGGAGCAAUGCCGCGUGAAGGAUGAAGGCCUAUGGGUUGUAAACUUCUUUUCUCAGAAAAGAAUUAUGACGGUAUCUGAGGAAUAAGCAUCGGCUAACUCUGUGCCAGCAGCCGCGGUAAGACAGAGGAUGCAAGCGUUAUCCGGAAUGAUUGGGCGUAAAGCGUCUGUAGGUUGUUUAAAAAGUAUUCUGUCAAAGAUUAGGGCUUAACCCUAGAUAGGCAGAAUAAACUUUUAAGCUAGAGUUUGGUAGAGGCAGAGGGAAUUCUCGGUGGAGCGGUGAAAUGCGUAGAUAUCGGGAGGAACACCAAAGGCGAAGGCACUCUGCUGGGCCAAUACUAACACUGAGAGACGAAAGCGAGGGGAGCAAAUGGGAUUAGAUACCCGGGUAGUCC
RNAcentral lists this ribosomal RNA (426 nucleotides) under uncultured bacterium. Its description in RNAcentral is "bacterial SSU rRNA". It matches the Rfam family "Bacterial small subunit ribosomal RNA", at positions 354 to 796 of the family's 1533-position model. The record is from RNAcentral.